RNAcentral lists this ribosomal RNA (496 nucleotides) under uncultured bacterium. Its description in RNAcentral is "partial 16S ribosomal RNA". It matches the Rfam family "Bacterial small subunit ribosomal RNA", at positions 28 to 506 of the family's 1533-position model. The record is from RNAcentral.
GAUGAACGCUGGCGGCGUGCCUAAUACAUGCAAGUCGAGCGAACAGACGAGGAGCUUGCUCCUUUGACGUUAGCGGCGGACGGGUGAGUAACACGUAGGUAACCUACCUAUAAGACUGGGAUAACUUCGGGAAACCGGAGCUAAUACCGGAUAAUAUUUCGAACCGCAUGGUUCGAUAGUGAAAGAUGGCUUUGCUAUCACUUAUAGAUGGACCUGCGCCGUAUUAGCUAGUUGGUAAGGUAACGGCUUACCAAGGCAACGAUACGUAGCCGACCUGAGAGGGUGAUCGGCCACACUGGAACUGAGACACGGUCCAGACUCCGACGGGAGGCAGCAGUAGGGAAGCUUCCGCAAUGGGCGAAAGCCUGACGGAGCAACGCCGCGUGAGUGAUGAAGGUCUUCGGAUCGUAAAACUCUGUUAUUAGGGAAGAACAAACGUGUAAGUAACUGUGCACGUCUUGACGGUACCUAAUCAGAAAGCCACGGCUAACUACGU